UUUCCGUAGGUGAACCUGCGGAAGGAUCAUUAACAAAAAAAUAAAAUCCACCUUAGGAAAAACCCAGAGAAGAAAUUCAAAGGGUUUUUCCUUAAGCAAACAGUGAACUUUGUUAAAGUUUCUAACAAGAUAUACCAAUCUAAAUUUUAUUUAGAAAGGUAUUUUCUUUUUAAAAACAAACUUGUUUAAUUUAUUUUGUCUUAUCCUUCUUAAACUAAAUUGGUUUUAGGACCUUUUUGGAAAGAAUAUUUAAAUCAAAAGUAACAACUUUUAACAACGGAUAUCUUGGCUCUU
This 294-nucleotide unclassified non-coding RNA is filed under the name plant metagenome. Its description in RNAcentral is "partial contains small subunit ribosomal RNA, internal transcribed spacer 1, and 5.8S ribosomal RNA". The record is from RNAcentral.